UGAGUAAACGUGAGCAAUGUGCCCUUGACUCUGGAAUAAGCGCUGGAAACGGCGUCUAAUACCGGAUACGACCCUCGGAGGCAUCUCCUGGGGGUGGAAAGAACUUCGGUCAAGGAUCAGCUCACGGCCUAUCAGUUAGUUGGUGAGGUAAUGGCUCACCAAGACGACGACGGGUAGCCGGCCUGAGAGGGUGACCGGCCACACUGGGACUGAGACACGGCCCAGACUCCUACGGGAGGCAGCAGUGGGGAAUAUUGCACAAUGGGCGCAAGCCUGAUGCAGCAACGCCGCGUGAGGGACGACGGCCUUCGGGUUGUAAACCUCUUUUAGCAGGGAAGAAGCGAAAGUGACGGUACCUGCAGAAAAAGCACCGGCUAACUACGUGCCAGCAGCCGCGGUAAUACGUAGGGUGCAAGCGUUGUCCGGAAUUAUUGGGCGUAAAGAGCUCGUAGGCGGUUUGUCACGUCUGCUGUGAAAUCCCGAGGCUCAACCUCGGGCUUGCAGUGGGUACGGGCAGACUAGAGUGCGGUAGGGGAGAUUGGAAUUCCUGGUGUAGCGGUGGAAUGCGCAGAUAUCAGGAGGAACACCGAUGGCGAAGGCAGAUCUCUGGGCCGUAACUGACGCUGAGGAGCGAAAGCAUGGGGAGCAAACAGGCUUAGAUACCCUGGUAGUCCAUGCCGUAAACGUUGGGAACUAGAUGUGGGGACCAUUCCACGGUCUCCGUGUCGUAGCUAACGCAUUAAGUUCCCCCGCCUGGGGGAGUACGGCCGCAAGGCUAAA
Molecule: ribosomal RNA, 780 nt
Filed under: Agrococcus sp. BAR65
Lineage: Bacteria; Bacillati; Actinomycetota; Actinomycetes; Micrococcales; Microbacteriaceae
Description: bacterial SSU rRNA
Rfam family: Bacterial small subunit ribosomal RNA
Source: RNAcentral